This 787-nucleotide non-coding RNA is filed under the name Dolichosciara megumiae. The record is from RNAcentral. Lineage: Eukaryota; Metazoa; Arthropoda; Insecta; Diptera; Sciaridae.
UGAAAGUUUUAUUUUAGCUUAAAAAAUUUAUUAUUAGUUUAUUUUACAUAUAAAUUUUUGUGUUAUAAAUUAAAUAUUUUAAAAUUAUUUAAUUUAUAAAUUUAAUAGUAGUAAAUUAUAUUAUGAGUUAUAAAAGAAAUUUUGAUUUAGUAAUUUAUAUAAUAUUAGUAAAAAUUGUGCCAGCAUCUGCGGUUAUACAAUUAAUAUGAAUAAAUUUUAUUAAUUAAAGUUAAAAUUUGUUUUUAAUUUUUUUUUUAAUUUAUUAAGUUAAAUUUUAAAUUUAUUUAAAAUUAUUUAUUAUUAAAUUUUAUACUUGAAAAUUUUAUUAAUAAACUAGGAUUAGAUACCCUAUUAUUUAAAAUGUAAUUUUAUAAAAUUAAAUUAGUAUUAGUUAUGUUCUUGAAAAUUAAUAAAUUUGGCGGUAUUUUAUUCUAUUCAGAGGAAUUUGUUUUGUAAUUGAUAAUACACAUUUAAUCUUACUUAAUUUAUUAAAAUUUGUAUAUCGUCGUCAUAAGAAUAUCUUAAAAGAGAUUAAAUAUUCUAAAAUUUUAAAUAAAAAUUAUGUCAGAUCAAGGUGCAGUUUAUGAUUAAGAAAAAAUGAAUUACAAUAAAAUUAUUUAUAUGAAUAUGUUUUUUAAAAAAAAUAUUAAAGGUGGAUUUGAUAGUAAAUUUAUCAAUAUAAAUAAAUUAAAUAUAGUUUUAAAAUAUGCACAUAUCGCCCGUCGCUCUUAUUUAUAUAUAAGAUAAGUCGUAACAUAGUAAAAGUACUGGAAAGUGCUUUUAGAUU